Long non-coding RNA from Macaca mulatta (Rhesus monkey), 2341 nucleotides. Lineage: Eukaryota; Metazoa; Chordata; Mammalia; Primates; Cercopithecidae. The record is from Ensembl.
AAACUUCAUCUAUAACUUCACUGGGGCCUCAGCCUUUAGAAACCAAAAGUCUCAUAAUAUCCAAUCCAAUCAAAUCCCCGUCAUCAUACUCAUCACACUGAUAUUUAUCUAUGUUAACGUUGACUUUUUAUUCAUUUUUAGCCUCUAAUGAACUAAAAGCUCAUGAUAUUUGCAGACAUGUUUAAUUUAGUCAUUAUUAAAUCCCCUCUGUUUAGUUAACUGACUUGCACAAAGUAGAGAUUGGUAAAUAUGUACCGAGUGAAAGAAUAAAUACCUAGAUGGCCCGACUAUUGUAAUAUGGGCAACUCACAGUGCCCAGAAGUCUCACUUACCCAAUCAGCAUUCUUGAUUCCAACCGCUCCACACAUGAAAGUCCAGAGCCCUUUCUUUGUUCCCUGGAAUAUGCCAUCAGAGACAAGAAGCAACUCAUUUUGUACCCAUGAUUCAUCAUUUGAUCCUCAUUCCUGUCCAAAGGAGGCUUCUGGGACCACAUCUCCUUCCCUCAGCUCACCUAUGCCAUCAUUCCUCAUGAGAUCGGGAGGAACUGUCCUCCAUGUUAAAUGAUAUUCACGUUUAACUGAUUAUCCUUGAGAAAAUAAACUUCCCUGUUUUCAGCAGAACUCUAGGAAAAAAAAUAUUUUUACAUCUGGUAAGUAAUACUGUAUAAUUUAUAGUUUUCCUCAUUGAAUAGAAAUUAAGAAGAGAUUAUUACAUUGAUGAAUUUGCUCUGCUCCAUAAAUUUCUGUAAUUAAGCUGAAAUUGGUCAUUCUAGUGGCAGAGGACAAAAUUGCACACAACUUACAUGCAAAAUAGAAAUCAUGAAAUAUUUAAAUUUCAAAGCUUAUUAAAAGUCUUCUUUCCAGAAUUUCAUUAAGCUCUUAAAGAAUACUAUUGUACUUGUAACUAAGAGGUUUCUUACUUUCUGAGGUCUGCUAAAAAUUAUAUAGCUAAAAUACUAAUACGAUUUUACAAAGUAGACUACCCAUGUGAAAGUGUUGAGCUCAAAACAUUAGCUACAUAGAGCUACUUAGUUUGAAAAUGAACAGAAAAUUAUCAUUUGACAAUCAAAAUUAUUCAUUCUUCUGGAAAAGAUGAUUUUCAAUCUUUUAAAAUUUUCAAACUUUUCUUGUCACUUUUUAAAAACUGUAUCUUUCUUGACAAUUUUUAAAUGAAUAUUGAGGGAAAAAAAGACAUGAAAUUAUGCUAUCCCAAUCACCUUUUAACUUUUCCUCUUAAUUACUUAGAUGCAAAUCAAAUGGUUUCUAGAAAUAGUAGUGACACUCUGCCAAAAUGUAAUUGGCUGUAAACACUGAUUGAGUUUAUCUUUUUUGUGCCUCAUUUUUAAUUAUUUUGCUUUGACACCUUCUUCUCGCUGGGAUUACUCACUGGAGUCAUGUCUAUCCAUAUUCUGCAUUUAGAUCUGUCAUUAAAAAUAACAUAGUUCCUGCUUUAAUUCACAUGGCCAAUGAGAGUGGUUGAUUGAGUCUGAGGUUUAAAAAAAAACCUUUCUUUGAUACACAUAUAUGAGAAUCAAAACAAAAAUGAAUGGAUUGAUGAAAUUCCUGGUCACAGAAUUAAGUCCAAAAUGAAGGAAGCAUUUAAGCAAUAAUUCCUUAAUUUUGCUUUUCAACACAGGCAUUUUGCUUGUGACAUUUCUCCACUGAAGAUAUUAUUUGCUCAAGUGUAAUGAAAUUACAUGUAUUAUGAAAUGGAAAAGUUCCAGGGAUGUGGCUGGGAAUGGUGACUCCCACCUGUAAUCCCAGCACUUUGGGAGGCCAAGACAGGAGGAUCACUUGAGCUCAGCAAUUUGAGAUCAGCCUGAGCAACACAGUGAGAUCUCAUCUCUACUAAAAAUAAAAAUAAAAUAAAAUAAAAAUUGGUGAGCUUAUAGUCCCAGCUACUCAGGGGGCUGAGCCUUGGAAGGUAGAGGCUGCAGUGAGCUGUAAUAGCACCAGUGUACUCCAGCUGGGGCAACACAGUGAGACCCCAUCUCAAAAAUAUUUUUUAAAUUUAAAUAAUGUUUUAAAAAUCUCCAGGGAUGUGUGUUAGUGUGGGCGUAAAGUAGAGGUAGACAAACACUAAGAUGCAGAGUGGAAUUUGCAAAACUUGGGAGUAAAGAGAAAAAAAGUUCUUUCUUCUGUAUCAAACAUGUCCUGUUUUCUGACAAAGAAGUAAGAAAUCAUGGCAGACCCAAAUGUUCAGUUUUCAACCAAGAAUUUUGUUGCUGAGAUUUUAUCAACUUAACCUUCUAAAAAGAAAUGUAAGAUCACUCAAGCUUGAGGCAGAGUAAACAUAAGUUAAUUUUAAAGUGAGUAUAUUCAUUUACUGUCAUGAAAAGUCG